This 492-nucleotide ribosomal RNA is filed under the name uncultured bacterium. RNAcentral describes it as "partial 16S ribosomal RNA". It matches the Rfam family "Bacterial small subunit ribosomal RNA", at positions 29 to 507 of the family's 1533-position model. The record is from RNAcentral.
AGUGAACGCUGGCGGUAGGCCUAACACAUGCAAGUCGAACGGCAGCACAGUAAGAGCUUGCUCUUACGGGUGGCGAGUGGCGGACGGGUGAGGAAUACAUCGGAAUCUACUUUUUCGUGGGGGAUAACGUAGGGAAACUUACGCUAAUACCGCAUACGACCUACGGGUGAAAGCAGGGGAUCUUCGGACCUUGCGCGAUUGAAUGAGCCGAUGUCGGAUUAGCUAGUUGGCGGGGUAAAGGCCCACCAAGGCGACGAUCCGUAGCUGGUCUGAGGGGAUGAUCAGCCACACUGGAACUGGGACACGGUCCAGACUCCUACGGGAGGCAGCAGUGGGGAAUAUUGGACAAUGGGCGCAAGCCUGAUCCAGCCAUACCGCGUGGGUGAAGAAGGCCUUCGGGUUGUAAAGCCCUUUUGUUGGGAAAGAAAAGCAGCAGGUUAAUACCCCGCUGUUCUGACGGUACCCAAAGAAUAAGCACCGGCUAACUUCGUG